This 73-nucleotide transfer RNA is filed under the name Ovis aries (sheep). It matches the Rfam family "tRNA". From Rfam's summary of the family: Transfer RNA (tRNA) molecules are approximately 80 nucleotides in length. Their secondary structure includes four short double-helical elements and three loops (D, anti-codon, and T loops). Further hydrogen bonds mediate the characteristic L-shaped molecular structure. tRNAs have two regions of fundamental functional importance: the anti-codon, which is responsible for specific mRNA codon recognition, and the 3' end, to which the tRNAs corresponding amino acid is attached (by aminoacyl-tRNA synthetases). tRNAs cope with the degeneracy of the genetic code in two manners: having more than one tRNA (with a specific anti-codon) for a particular amino acid; and 'wobble' base-pairing, i.e. permitting non-standard base-pairing at the 3rd anti-codon position. The record is from Rfam by way of RNAcentral. Lineage: Eukaryota; Metazoa; Chordata; Mammalia; Artiodactyla; Bovidae.
UUCUUGGUGGUCCAGUAGCUAAGACACUGUGCUCUCAAUGCAGGGGGCCUGGGUUCAAGCCCUGGUCAGAAAA